UACGUAGGGGGCAAGCGUUGUCCGGAUUUAUUGGGCGUAAAGAGCUUGUAGGCGGUCUGUCGCGUCUGCUGUGAAAAUCCGGGGCUCAACCCCGGACUUGCAGUGGGUACGGGCAGACUAGAGUGUGGCAGAGGAAGGUGGAAUUCCAGGUGUAGCGGUGAAAUGCGUAGAGAUCUGGAGGAACACCGAUGGCGAAGGCAGCCUUCUGGGCCAACACUGACGCUCAUGCACGAAAGCGUGGGGAGCAAACAGG
Molecule: ribosomal RNA, 253 nt
Filed under: uncultured bacterium
Lineage: Bacteria
Description: partial 16S ribosomal RNA
Rfam family: Bacterial small subunit ribosomal RNA
Source: RNAcentral